Parus major (Great Tit) is the source of this 359-nucleotide long non-coding RNA. RefSeq lists it as uncharacterized. The transcript has 4 exons. The record is from RefSeq and is a predicted model, not a curated record. NCBI's taxonomy places the organism in Eukaryota, Metazoa, Chordata, Aves, Passeriformes, Paridae.
UCUGUCCUAAGGGAUCUCUAAACAAGAUCCUGGGUUACUCUUCCCUUCUGGAACCUGCUGUAAGAAGCCUAUUUUCAGGCUGAAAGGGGCAGUGUCUUUUCUGUGUGUUUGUCUAUGUCUCCAUUCUGUUUCUCUGGAAGUGCUAGAAACCCCAGUAUCUGAUAUAAUUUCUAUUGAACAGCAUCUCAGAAAUCUUCUGCUGCCACUGAAGAAUUGUUACUGGUGCUCAAAGAGCUUCUUCGUCAAAUUUGAGCAAGCCUCUGAAUGGACAAGCAUGUAUUUUCAUCGCCCACUUUUUUUCCUCCAUUCUUCUUUCCCAUCCUGAUCACCAAUUUUGUUAAGAUGGACUUAAGCUAAAA